GGUUCUCUCCGAAAUAGCUUUAGGGCUAGCCUCAAGUGAUGAUUAUUGGAGGUAGAGCACUGUUUGGACGAGGGGCCCCUCUCGGGUUACCGAAUUCAGACAAACUCCGAAUGCCAAAUAAUUUAACUUGGGAGUCAGAAUGUGGGUGAUAAGGUCCAUAUUCGAAAGGGAAACAGCCCAGACCACCAGCUAAGGUCCCAAAAUAUAUGUUAAGUGGAAAAGGAUGUGGCGUUGCCCAGACAACUAGGAUGUUGGCUUAGAAGCAGCCAUCAUUUAAAGAGUGCGUAAUAGCUCACUAGUCGAGUGACACUGCGCCGAAAAUGUACCGGGGCUAAACAUAUUACCGAAGCUGUGGAUUGUCCUUUGGACAAUGGUAGGAGAGCGUUCUAAGG
RNAcentral lists this ribosomal RNA (392 nucleotides) under Staphylococcus pseudintermedius. RNAcentral describes it as "partial 23S ribosomal RNA". It matches the Rfam family "Bacterial large subunit ribosomal RNA", at positions 851 to 1246 of the family's 2925-position model. Lineage: Bacteria; Bacillati; Bacillota; Bacilli; Caryophanales; Staphylococcaceae. The record is from RNAcentral.